Pangasianodon hypophthalmus (striped catfish) is the source of this 3372-nucleotide RNA transcript. It is a transcript of the gene named thymocyte expressed, positive selection associated 1, with no coding region annotated. The record is from RefSeq and is a predicted model, not a curated record. The transcript has 12 exons. Lineage: Eukaryota; Metazoa; Chordata; Actinopteri; Siluriformes; Pangasiidae.
GGAAAAAGCCAUGGUUUAAUCUCCUGGCUUGAACAGCUCUAAGACAGGUAACAUUUGGGUACAAUGUAGCCUAAUUACUGUAAUUAUUCAGUCUAGUUUAAAGUGAGUUUUCAGUUUUGGUGGUAUUAUUUGGCAUUUGCUCAAAUCGUCGACUAUAUGAUUGAUGGAUUUUCUUUUUGUUAAGCGACACAGCAGCACUUCUUCCUCUCCCUGCUUCCGCCAUGUGUGGCGCGUCACGAGGCUGAAGAGUCUGUCAGCACAAACAGCGCGAAAGUUUGCGUCGGCGGAGCAACAAUGCUUUUUUUUUUUCUUAAAAAAAAAGGGGUGUUUCUGUCUUCCUACGUUUAACGGUAUGUAGGAACCGGUGCGCCGCGGUGAAUGUGUGUAAGACAGCGCGCUACCACGGCGGUGAAUUGUGAAUUGUGAAGAUGCUGGAGUGAGGAGCGGUGUUGUUGUAAAGGCUUAUUAGCAAUGGACAGUCCAUGUUCUGUGAACCGAAGGCAGGCAUGGGCUCAAUGCAGCCGCCACUGGCUCACAGUGGAAGACACAGAGCCACAUGCAUCUGCGUCCAGUAACGCACGUACCACUCCAGCUGCACAGCUUUCUCUGCAGGACGAAGUCUUUCCUGAUGGAUGCGCUACAGGAAAGAUUGAAACCUGGCUCCAAAGCUGUGGAAAUGAAGCCAGUCAAGAGAACCCAAGUCAACUCACUCUGGAAUCUUUGCUGAAGUCUGCUAACAGUUUUGAGGACGACCUGAGCCUCGGGGCUGAAGCUACAGGACUAGAUGAUGGAUUGCAUGACGAAGAGUUAGGGCACUGUCCAUUGCUCCUGCCUCCUCCUAAAUCACGUCGCAAAGAUUUGCACACAAGCACUCCUCAGCAGAGGCUUAACCUGCCAUUCAGAAACAUGGGCCACAGUGUUGCAUCUAGUAUCUUCUCCUCCACCACCAAUAAAACUGCUUCCAGUGUGUCUGAGGUCCUGCAGAUGUGUGCUGAGGAUGCAGAGGAGACUCUGUACCAGUUAGGAUUUGGUUGUGAGGAGCCACAAGUAACAGCCCGUAUUCCAGCUCGUUUCUUCACUUUCCCUUCGCAGCUCAGAGGCAUCAACUUCCGCCUGUUCCUUGAGUCACAGCUCCGCCGCAUUCGGGAAGAGGACCCCAGCCUCUCACUCGCUAGUCGUUUCCGUCAGGUGGAGGUGUUAACAGCCAUGGCCAAUGCUUUCUAUUCUCUCUACUCCCACGUAUCUCGGACACCGCUUCAGAAGCUGGCACCCCCUGAAUUCAGCUUUUCUUCUCCCACUAUGGAGCGGAGCAUUGGUCAGCGCUUCUUUGGCAAUGUCCGCACUGAACCACGCUCUCCCGUGGAGCGUCUCAAAGACACUGUGUCCAAGAUGUGCUUAUACACACGUGGCUCGGACUCUGCUUCUCCAAACUGUUCUCCUCGCAAGAGGAACAGCCUACCAGAUGUGGUUGAAAUGAUAGUAGGGAAUGUGAGGGGUGAAGCGAGCCAUGACCAGAGUAAUGGAAUGUGGAUACGGGCGCAAGCAGGGGAUGGCAACGUAACUCCUAAGGUGAAAGAUGAAAAGGCUCUACAGCAUGCUGAAGUGAAGGCUGCUGAAAAAAUGAGUGACCAUGAGAAAACUACAAGUGCACACAAGCAGAGGAUCCAGCGGUGGUCACAGUCAGGGCAGAGAGAAGGUCCUAGAGCAAAGGGUUGCCUGUUUAAGUCACACCAUGCAUCUCUGGAAUCUAGGCAUACUCAGACUUCACGGGAUACAGACUUGGAUGAAGGUUCCUCCAGUUCCUCUUUGCUUCCUGACUCCUCUAAAGAUCCUGCUGAUACUAAUGCACCAGCUCCCAUUGUUGCUUAUGAUGAAAUUUCCCCUCAUGUAGUGGAGCAUGUGCAUAAAGCACCUUAUGGGUGUCCAGAGAUGCAUAGUGUAUCAACAGUGGGCUUAUCAACCUCUGCUCAUAUGCACAGUCCAGACUCGUGUCCUAGGACACCUGAACUAGAGCACAAGCUAAGCAUUACGGAUACAAAAUCAUCCUCGUUCUGUGCUGGUGAUGAGCUUAUGGUGGAAGUACCAGUAACUUCAAAGAUUUCACAAGGUGACCUUGUGUCCCUACACCCAAGCAUCACACAAGGGUCACCAUGUCAGAUCAUGGUCACUGGAUGGGAGGAUGAUGAUGACCCUAUUUUACACAGAGAAUCAUUUGACGACUAUAAUUAUUUCAUGUACCCUGGUAGCACUGCGCAGGUGCAUUCAUCCCAGUCAGACCAGCAGAGGUACCUGAGCCCCAACAACCCCUCAACUAGCCAGAUCAACUGCCAACUCAAGCAGGCCAACUCCUUUGAGUUGGAGGAGUUAAUAAUACAAAAAUGCAGCAUGUCAAGUUGCUGAGAAACUGCAAAUCCCUUUCCCAUGUUGGACAACUGAUGGGAACAUCAGCUUUACCUCUGACUGUUACAAAGCACUGGAGACUCCUUCCAUAAAUGUUAAAUAAACAUGUAUAUAAUGUUAAAUAAACAUGUAAAAUCCAUUUAUGUGGAAUGUCUGCUGGACAAGUCCCUGUGUAUUAAUUGUUACAUAUUACACUAUGUACAUUAAUAUAAACCUGUGAGUUGCCUUGUAGCUGGCACUAGUUGCAAAAACAGCAGAAUUACACAACAGUUCAUUCCGGAAUAUCUUCAUGGCUUGUGCGAUAAUCCUUAAUUGAUUAUCAACUUCUGACUAAUCAGAUUAGAGAAUUCAACAGUGUUGUGGUAUAAAUUAAUGUAAUAGAGGGUAAUAAACAGUUCACAAUAUUUAAUCAACAAUUGUACAUCACAGAGCCCUGACAAUAGUGAACAACAGUUCAAAAAAUUGAGAUGAAUUCUAUCUCUGAACCUAAAUAUAACCAGGAGUAUUUCACACAUAGUUUUGUAUUUUGGCUGUAUUUUUACACAUCUCUUUAUUAAUACAGCCACCCUCUUUUUACCCUCACCAUAUUUUUUCUCUUCUCAAUAUAUUGCACACUUGCAUGCAGAGAAUAUUAUUGUGGCCAUAGAAGUCAAUCAGUUUCUCACCUGCUACAGCCCAAAUCAGUGGCAUAUGUUAAAUAUGCAGAAUUUACUUAAAUGUUCACAAGUCAAGUCUAUGCUGAGUGCUGAAUAGCCAUUAAUAUGUUGCUUCUGCAAAGGUGCAGAGUGUGGGAGAGGAGGAGAACACAUCAGUGGAGCAGUGUAGUGCGUACACACUGUCAGUUACAGCAUCUACGCAUCAGAAAUGUUCACCCUUGAGAGGGGACAGUUUCCAGUCAGACAGCAGUGGCUAUGCUGAAGAGGACAUGCAGAAUUUACUCACCUCCACUAACAGAGAGAUUAGCUGAAGACC